UCGGGGUUGCUGGGCCGCGG
RNAcentral lists this unclassified non-coding RNA (20 nucleotides) under Chlamydomonas reinhardtii. Its description in RNAcentral is "small RNA Cre_2717". Lineage: Eukaryota; Viridiplantae; Chlorophyta; Chlorophyceae; Chlamydomonadales; Chlamydomonadaceae. The record is from RNAcentral.